AGUGAACGCUGGCGGUAGGCCUAACACAUGCAAGUCGAACGGCAGCACAGGAGAGCUUGCUCUCUGGGUGGCGAGUGGCGGACGGGUGAGGAAUACAUCGGAAUCUACUUUUUCGUGGGAGAUAACGUAGGGAAACCUACGCUAAUACCGCAUACGACCUACGGGUGAAAGCAGGGGACCUUCGGGCCUUGCGCGAUUGAAUGAGCCGAUGUCGGAUUAGCUAGUUGGCGGGGUAAAGGCCCACCAAGGCGACGAUCCGUAGCUGGUCUGAGAGGAUGAUCAGCCACACUGGAACUGAGACACGGUCCAGACGCCUUCGGGAGGCAGCAGUGGGGAAUAUUGGACAAUGGGCGCAAGCCUGAUCCAGCCAUACCGCGUGGGUGAAGAAGGCCUUCGGGUUGUAAAGCCCUUUUGUUGGGAAAGAAAUCCAGCUGGCUAAUACCCGGUUGGGAUGACGGUACCCAAAGAAUAAGCACCGGCUAACUUCGUGCCAGCAGCCGCGGUAA
Molecule: ribosomal RNA, 506 nt
Filed under: uncultured bacterium
Lineage: Bacteria
Description: partial 16S ribosomal RNA
Rfam family: Bacterial small subunit ribosomal RNA
Source: RNAcentral